This 720-nucleotide ribosomal RNA is filed under the name Tsukamurella sp. YIM 69482. Its description in RNAcentral is "bacterial SSU rRNA". It matches the Rfam family "Bacterial small subunit ribosomal RNA", at positions 55 to 794 of the family's 1533-position model. Lineage: Bacteria; Bacillati; Actinomycetota; Actinomycetes; Mycobacteriales; Tsukamurellaceae. The record is from RNAcentral.
AUGCAAGUCGAGCGGAAGGCCCUUCGGGGUACUCGAGCGGCGAACGGGUGAGUAACACGUGAGUAACCUGCCCCAGGCUUUGGGAUAACCCUCGGAAACGGGGGCUAAUACCGGAUAUGACUUCUGACCGCAUGGUUGGGGGUGGAAAGUUUUUCGGCUUGGGAUGGGCUCGCGGCCUAUCAGCUUGUUGGUGGGGUGAUGGCCUACCAAGGCGACGACGGGUAGCCGGCCUGAGAGGGCGACCGGCCACACUGGGACUGAGACACGGCCCAGACUCCUACGGGAGGCAGCAGUGGGGAAUAUUGCACAAUGGGCGAAAGCCUGAUGCAGCGACGCCGCGUGAGGGAUGACGGCCUUCGGGUUGUAAACCUCUUUCAGCAGGGACGAAGCGCAAGUGACGGUACCUGCAGAAGAAGCGCCGGCCAACUACGUGCCAGCAGCCGCGGUAAGACGUAGGGCGCGAGCGUUGUCCGGAUUUAUUGGGCGUAAAGAGCUCGUAGGCGGCUUGUCGCGUCGACUGUGAAAACCCGCAGCUCAACUGCGGGCUUGCAGCCGAUACGGGCAGGCUAGAGUUCGGUAGGGGAGACUGGAAUUCCUGGUGUAGCGGUGAAAUGCGCAGAUAUCAGGAGGAACACCGGUGGCGAAGGCGGGUCUCUGGGCCGAUACUGACGCUGAGGAGCGAAAGCGUGGGGAGCGAACAGGAUUAGAUACCCUGGUAGU